UACGAAGGGGGCUAGCGUUGCUCGGAUUUACUGGGCGUAAAGGGCGCGUAGGCGGACAGUUGAGUCGGGGGUGAAAGCCCGGGGCUCAACCUCGGAAUUGCCUUCGAUACUGGCUGUCUUGAGUACGGGAGAGGUGUGUGGAACUCCGAGUGUAGAGGUGAAAUUCGUAGAUAUUCGGAAGAACACCAGUGGCGAAGGCGACACACUGGCCCGUUACUGACGCUGAGGCGCGAAAGCGUGGGGAGCAAACAGG
Molecule: ribosomal RNA, 253 nt
Filed under: uncultured bacterium
Lineage: Bacteria
Description: partial 16S ribosomal RNA
Rfam family: Bacterial small subunit ribosomal RNA
Source: RNAcentral